This is a long non-coding RNA of Mercurialis annua (annual mercury), 305 nucleotides long. RefSeq lists it as uncharacterized. The record is from RefSeq and is a predicted model, not a curated record. The transcript is spliced from 3 exons. Lineage: Eukaryota; Viridiplantae; Streptophyta; Magnoliopsida; Malpighiales; Euphorbiaceae.
CUCUUAUUUCUACUAAGCCUAAGCUUAGUUGCAGAGCCAUCCACGUUUCUUUUUUUUUCCUAAAUAUAUACCUAUCAUUCUAACCCUAGCCGUUUCUCUGAAUUCUUAACAAUCAUAAACAACUCAUCGCUCAUCCCUCGCUUCCUCAUUCAACCUUGAUCGAAAUCGAUUCCGUUUCCUCCUAGAGAUUCUAGACCCACGUAUCUACGUUUUCCUAUCUCGUUUUCAUAAAACGACCCGUCGACUGUUCGUACUUCAGAGGCGAACUAGAGUUAGAUUGCUUGCCAGGAUCACGUGGAUUUAGC